RNAcentral lists this ribosomal RNA (459 nucleotides) under uncultured bacterium. RNAcentral's name for it is "partial 16S ribosomal RNA". It matches the Rfam family "Bacterial small subunit ribosomal RNA", at positions 338 to 795 of the family's 1533-position model. The record is from RNAcentral.
CCUACGGGCGGCAGCAGUGAGGAAUAUUGGUCAAUGGACGGAAGUCUGAACCAGCCAUGCCGCGUGCAGGAAGACGGCUCUAUGAGUUGUAAACUGCUUUUGUACAAGGGUAAACCUGAAUACGUGUAUUCAGCUGAAAGUACUGUACGAAUAAGGAUCGGCUAACUCCGUGCCAGCAGCCGCGGUAAUACGGAGGAUCCAAGCGUUAUCCGGAUUUAUUGGGUUUAAAGGGUGCGUAGGCGGGCUGUUAAGUCAGCGGUCAAAUGUCGGGGCUCAACCCCGGCCUGCCGUUGAAACUGGCGGCCUCGAGUGGGCGAGAAGUAUGCGGAAUGCGUGGUGUAGCGGUGAAAUGCAUAGAUAUCACGCAGAACUCCGAUUGCGAAGGCAGCAUACCGGCGCCCGACUGACGCUGAGGCACGAAAGCGUGGGUAUCGAACAGGAUUAGAUACCCUUGUAGUC